This 374-nucleotide ribosomal RNA is filed under the name uncultured bacterium. Its description in RNAcentral is "bacterial SSU rRNA". It matches the Rfam family "Bacterial small subunit ribosomal RNA", at positions 27 to 393 of the family's 1533-position model. The record is from RNAcentral.
GGAUGAACGCUAGCGGCAGGCUUAAUACAUGCAAGUCGAGGGGCAGCAUGGUUGUAGCAAUACAACUGAUGGCGACCGGCAAACGGGUGCGGAACACGUACGCAAUCUACCCAAAACUGAUGAAUAGCCCUCCGAAAGGAGGAUUAAUACAUCGUAACUUAAUGAAGUGGCAUCACCUUAUUAAUAUAGCUCCGGCGGUUUUGGAUGAGCGUGCGCCUGAUUAGGUAGUUGGCGGGGUAACGGCCCACCAAGCCAGCGAUCAGUAACUGGUGUGAGAGCACGACCAGUCACACGGGCACUGAGACACGGGGCCCGACUCCUACGGGNGGCAGCAGUAAGGAAUAUUGGUCAAUGGACGCAAGUCUGAACCAGCC